Molecule: ribosomal RNA, 497 nt
Filed under: uncultured bacterium
Lineage: Bacteria
Description: partial 16S ribosomal RNA
Rfam family: Bacterial small subunit ribosomal RNA
Source: RNAcentral
GACGAACGCUGGCGGCGUGCCUAAUACAUGCAAGUUGAGCGCUGAAGGUUGGUACUUGUACCAACUGGAUGAGCAGCGCACGGGUGAGUAACGCGUGGGGAAUCUGCCUUUGAGCGGGGGACAACAUUUGGAAACGAAUGCUAAUACCGCAUAAAAACUUUAAACACAAGUUUUAAGUUUGAAAGAUGCAAUUGCAUCACUCAAAGAUGAUCCCGCGUUGUAUUAGCUAGUUGGUGAGGUAAAGGCUCACCAAGGCGAUGAUACAUAGCCGACCUGAGAGGGUGGUCGGCCACAUUGGGACGGUGACACGGCCCAAACGCCUACGGGAGGCAGCAGUAGGGAAUCUUCGGCAAGGGACGAAAGUCUGACCGAGCAACGCCGAGUGAGGGAAGAAGGUUUUCGGAUCGUAAAACUCGGUUGGUAGGGAAGAACGUUGGUGAGAGUGGAAAGCUCAGCAAGUGACGGUAACUACCCAGAAAGGGACGGCUAACUACGUG